GACGAACGCUGGCGGCGUGCUUAACACAUGCAAGUCGAACGGAAAGGCCUGCUUUCCCUUGUGGAUUGCGGGUACUCGAGUGGCGAACGGGUGAGUAACACGUGAGUGAUCUGCCCCCAACUUGGGUAUAAGCCUGGGAGACUGGGUCUAAUUCCCGAUAGGACUGCAGGGUGGUGCCUGUGGUGGAAAACGAUUUUCUAGUGGUUGGGGAUGAGCUCGCGGCCUAUCAGCUUGUUGGUGGGGUAAUGGCCUACCAAGGCGGCGACGGGUAGCCGGCCUGAGGGGGUGGACGGCCACAUUGGGACUGAGAUACGGCCCAGACUCCUACGGGAGGCAGCAGUGGGGAAUAUUGCACAAUGGGCGGAAGCCUGAUGCAGCGACGCCGCGUGGGGGAUGACGGCCUUCGGGUUGUAAACUCCUUUCGACCGCGAGGAAGCCACCUGGUUGGAAGGGUGGCGACGGUAGUGGUAGAAGAAGCACCGGCUAACUACGUG
RNAcentral lists this ribosomal RNA (494 nucleotides) under uncultured bacterium. RNAcentral describes it as "partial 16S ribosomal RNA". It matches the Rfam family "Bacterial small subunit ribosomal RNA", at positions 28 to 507 of the family's 1533-position model. The record is from RNAcentral.